This 429-nucleotide ribosomal RNA is filed under the name Gemmatimonadota bacterium. RNAcentral describes it as "Gemmatimonadetes bacterium partial 16S ribosomal RNA". It matches the Rfam family "Bacterial small subunit ribosomal RNA", at positions 355 to 776 of the family's 1533-position model. Lineage: Bacteria; Pseudomonadati; Gemmatimonadota. The record is from RNAcentral.
UAGGGAAUCUUCGGCAAUGGACGAAAGUCUGACCGAGCAACGCCGCGUGAGUGAAGAAGGCUUUCGGAUCGUAAAACUCUGUUGUUAGAGAAGAACAAGGACGUUAGUAACUGAACGUCCCCUGACGGUAUCUAACCAGAAAGCCACGGCUAACUACGUGCCAGCAGCCGCGGUAAUACGUAGGUGGCAAGCGUUGUCCGGAUUUAUUGGGCGUAAAGCGAGCGCAGGCGGUUUCUUAAGUCUGAUGUGAAAGCCCCCGGCUCAACCGGGGAGGGUCAUUGGAAACUGGGAGGCUUGAGUGCAGAAGAGAAGGGUGGAAUUCCAUGUGUAGCGGUGAAAUGCGUAGAUAUAUGGAGGAACACCAGUGGCGAAGGCGGCUCUCUGGUCUGUAACUGACGCUGAGGCUCGAAAGCGUGGGGAGCAAACAGG